Molecule: unclassified non-coding RNA, 263 nt
Filed under: fungal sp.
Lineage: Eukaryota; Fungi
Description: partial internal transcribed spacer region
Rfam family: Eukaryotic small subunit ribosomal RNA (bases 1-46)
Source: RNAcentral
AAGUCGUAACAAGGUUUCCGUAGGUGAACCUGCGGAAGGAUCAUCAAUGAAAAAAUCCAGCCAAAACACUUGGGCAUUCUAGCCUGGUUGGUUGUCAUUUUUGACAUCAAGUAGGUCUAAGUUUUUUAGACCAGGGAAUUGACGGAAAACAAAUUAGACCAGAAAUUGGUCAAGGUAAACUUUCAGGUUCAAGUUUAACUCUUGACCUGAUAUUUACAGUAGAAAAAAAAAACAACUUUCGGCAACGGAUCUCUCGGCUCUCC